CCUACGGGUGGCAGCAGUGGGGGAUAUUGCACAAUGGGGGCAACCCUGAUGCAGCGACGCCGCGUGGAUGAAGAAGCGCCUCGGCUCGUAAAGCCCUGUCAGCAGGGAGGAAAGUGACGUUGUCUGAAGCAGAAGCCCCUGCUAACUACGUGCCAGCAGCCGCGGUAAUACGUAGGGGGCAAGCGUUCGCCGGAUUUACUGGGUGAAAGGGUGGCGCAGACGGCGAGGCAAGGCAGGAGUGAAAGCCCGGGGCUCAACCCCGGGACUGCUCCUGGAACUGCGUGGCGGGAGUGCAGGAGGGGGGGGUGGAAUUCCUGGUGUAGCGGUGAAAUGCGUAGAGAUCAGGAGGAACACCGGUGGCGAAGGCGGCCUGCUGGACUGCAACUGACGUUGAGGUGCGAAAGCGUGGGGAGCAAACAGGAUUAGAUACCCCGGUAGUC
This 440-nucleotide ribosomal RNA is filed under the name uncultured bacterium. RNAcentral's name for it is "partial 16S ribosomal RNA". It matches the Rfam family "Bacterial small subunit ribosomal RNA", at positions 338 to 795 of the family's 1533-position model. The record is from RNAcentral.